RNAcentral lists this ribosomal RNA (497 nucleotides) under uncultured bacterium. RNAcentral's name for it is "partial 16S ribosomal RNA". It matches the Rfam family "Bacterial small subunit ribosomal RNA", at positions 28 to 507 of the family's 1533-position model. The record is from RNAcentral.
GAUGAACGCUGGCGGCGUGCCUAAUACAUGCAAGUCGAGCGAACAGACGAGGAGCUUGCUCCUCUGACGUUAGCGGCGGACGGGUGAGUAACACGUGGAUAACCUACCUAUAAGACUGGGAUAACUUCGGGAAACCGGAGCUAAUACCGGAUAAUAUAUUGAACCGCAUGGUUCAAUAGUGAAAGACGGUUUUGCUGUCACUUAUAGAUGGAUCCGCGCCGCAUUAGCUAGUUGUUAAGGUAACGGCUUACCAAGGCAACGAUGCGUAGCCGACCUGAGAGGGUGAUCGGCCACACUGGAACUGAGACACGGUCCAGACUCCUACGGGAGGCAGCAGUAGGGAAUCUUCCGCAAAGGGCGAAAGCCUGACGGAGCAACGCCGCGUGAGUGAUGAAGGUCUUCGGAUCGUAAAACUCUGUUAUUAGGGAAGAACAAAUGUGUAAGUAACUAUGCACGUCUUGACGGUACCUAAUCAGAAAGCCACGGCUAACUACGUG